RNAcentral lists this ribosomal RNA (236 nucleotides) under uncultured bacterium. RNAcentral describes it as "partial 16S ribosomal RNA". It matches the Rfam family "Bacterial small subunit ribosomal RNA", at positions 16 to 244 of the family's 1533-position model. The record is from RNAcentral.
GUCCUGGCCAGGACGAACGCUGGCGGCGUGCCUAAUACAUGCAAGUAGAACGCUGAAGGAGGAGCUUGCUUCUCCGGAUGAGUUGCGAACGGGUGAGUAACGCGUAGGUAACCUGCCUGGUAGCGGGGGAUAACUAUUGGAAACGAUAGCUAAUACCGCAUAAUAGCAGUUGUUGCAUGACAACUGUUUAAAAGGUGCAAUUUGCAUCACUACCAGAUGGACCUGCGUUGUAUUAG